UGGGGAAUAUUGCACAAUGGGCGAAAGCCUGAUGCAGCAACGCCGCGUGAGUGAUGAAGGCCUUCGGGUUGUAAAGCUCUGUCUUUUGGGACGAUAAUGACGGUACCAAAGGAGGAAGCCACGGCUAACUACGUGCCAGCAGCCGCGGUAAUACGUAGGUGGCAAGCGUUGUCCGGAUUUACUGGGCGUAAAGGAUGCGUAGGCGGAUUUUUAAGUGAGAUGCGAAAACCCUAAGCUUAACUUGGGGACUGCAUUUCAUACUGGAAAUCUAGAGUGCGGGAGAGGAGAAUGGAAUUCCUAGUGUAGCGGUGAAAUGCGUAGAGAUUAGGAAGAACACCAGUGGCGAAGGCGAUUCUCUGGACCGUAACUGACGCUGAGGCAUGAAAGCGUGGGUAGCAAACAGGAUUAGAUACCCUGGUAGUCCACGCCGUAAACGAUGAGUACUAGGUGUAGGAGGUAUCGACCCCUUCUGUGCCGCAGUUAACACAAUAAGUACUCCGCCUGGGAAGUACGAUCGCAAGA
This 522-nucleotide ribosomal RNA is filed under the name uncultured bacterium. RNAcentral describes it as "partial 16S ribosomal RNA". It matches the Rfam family "Bacterial small subunit ribosomal RNA", at positions 355 to 893 of the family's 1533-position model. The record is from RNAcentral.